Molecule: long non-coding RNA, 215 nt
Filed under: Gossypium barbadense (sea-island cotton)
Lineage: Eukaryota; Viridiplantae; Streptophyta; Magnoliopsida; Malvales; Malvaceae
Description: long non-coding RNA (GBAR_LNC001650)
Source: RNAcentral
UUUAAUUAUCUAUAUCUAACCAUAUAAUAAAUUAUUAAUAUAAUAUAGAAAAGAAAUUAAUAGUGGAUAAUUUUAUUCAUCGUUUUUUAUACAAUCCCUAGAACUACUCAUAAUUCCUCCCCAACCCUUAAUAUAGGAGAUCAUUAAUGCCCUUCAACAUGCUCGAACCCAUGGUCUCCUGCAUGUGCAACAAGGUCGAUGCCAAUCGAGCUAAG